GACGAACGCUGGCGGCGUGCCUAAUACAUGCAAGUUGAGCGAUGAAGAUUGGUGCUUGCACCAAUUUGAAGAGCAGCGAACGGGUGAGUAACGCGUGGGGAAUCUGCCUUUGAGCGGGGGACAACAUUUGGAAACGAAUGCUAAUACCGCAUAACAACUUUAAACAUAAGUUUUAAGUUUGAAAGAUGCAAUUGCAUCACUCAAAGAUGAUCCCGCGUUGUAUUAGCUAGUUGGUGAGGUAAAGGCUCACCAAGGCGAUGAUACAUAGCCGACCUGAGAGGGUGGUCGGCCACAUUGGGACUGAGACACGGCCCAAACUCCUACGGGAGGCAGCAGUAGGGAAUCUUCGGCAAUGGACGAAAGUCUGACCGAGCAACGCCGCGUGAGUGAAGAAGGGUGUCGGAUCGGAAAACUCGGUUGGUAGAGAAGAACGUUGGUGAGAGUGGAAAGCUCAUCAAGUGACGGUAACUACCCAAAAAGGGACGGCUAACUACGUG
Molecule: ribosomal RNA, 497 nt
Filed under: uncultured bacterium
Lineage: Bacteria
Description: partial 16S ribosomal RNA
Rfam family: Bacterial small subunit ribosomal RNA
Source: RNAcentral